Molecule: ribosomal RNA, 378 nt
Filed under: uncultured organism
Description: partial 16S ribosomal RNA
Rfam family: Bacterial small subunit ribosomal RNA
Source: RNAcentral
GUAGGUGGCAAGCGUUGUCCGGAAUUAUUGGGCGUAAAGCGCGCGCAGGCGGUUCUUUAAGUCUGAUGUGAAAGCCCACGGCUCAACCGUGGAGGGUCAUUGGAAACUGGAGAACUUGAGUACAGAAGAGGAAAGCGGAAUUCCACGUGUAGCGGUGAAAUGCGUAGAGAUGUGGAGGAACACCAGUGGCGAAGGCGGCUCUCUGGUCUGUAACUGACGCUGAGGCGCGAAAGCGUGGGGGGAGCAAACAGGAUUAGAUACCCUGGUAGUCCACGCCGUAAACGAUGAGUGCUAAGUGUUAGGGGGUUUCCGCCCCCCCCUUAGUGCUGCAGCUAACGCAUUAAGCACUCCGCCUGGGGAGUACGGCCGCAAGGCUGA